RNAcentral lists this ribosomal RNA (443 nucleotides) under uncultured bacterium. RNAcentral describes it as "partial 16S ribosomal RNA". It matches the Rfam family "Bacterial small subunit ribosomal RNA", at positions 338 to 795 of the family's 1533-position model. The record is from RNAcentral.
CCUACGGGUGGCAGCAGUGGGGAAUAUUGGGCAAUGGGCGCAAGCCUGACCCAGCAACGCCGCGUGAAGGAAGAAGGCUUUCGGGUUGUAAACUUCGUUUCUGAGGGACGAAGAAAGUGACGGUACCGCAGGAAUAAGCAACGGCUAACUACGUGCCAGCAGCCGCGGUAAUACGUAGGGGGCAAGCGUUAGCCGGCUUUAUUGGGUGUAAAGGGCGUGUAGGUGGGAAAGCAAGUCCGAUGGGAAAACUCAGGGCUCAACCCUGAGCCUGCAUUUGAAACGGUUUUUCUUGAGUGCUGGAGAGGCAAUCGGAAUUCCGUGUGUAGCGGUGCACUGCGUAGAUAUACGGCGGAACCCCAGUGGCGAAGGCGGAUUGCUGGACAGUAACUGACGCUGAGGCGCGAAAGCGUGGGGAGCAAACAGGAUUAGAUACCCCUGUAGUC